Molecule: transfer RNA, 76 nt
Filed under: Deltaproteobacteria bacterium GWB2_55_19
Lineage: Bacteria; Deltaproteobacteria
Also listed under: 2 other names
Description: tRNA-Phe
Rfam family: tRNA
About the family: Transfer RNA (tRNA) molecules are approximately 80 nucleotides in length. Their secondary structure includes four short double-helical elements and three loops (D, anti-codon, and T loops).
Source: RNAcentral
GGCCAGAUAGCUCAGCAGGUAGAGCAGAGGACUGAAAAUCCUCGUGUCGGCGGUUCGAUUCCGUCUCUGGCCACCA